Daphnia magna is the source of this 1635-nucleotide long non-coding RNA. RefSeq lists it as uncharacterized. The record is from RefSeq and is a predicted model, not a curated record. Lineage: Eukaryota; Metazoa; Arthropoda; Branchiopoda; Diplostraca; Daphniidae. The transcript is spliced from 2 exons.
GAACAGUUCGUCUGCUUGAGAAGAGAGAAAUAGUUAACCUACUUUAGAAGUCGUGUUGACGUAAGCGAGAAUUAUUAAAAGGAAAUUAGUUUUUAUCAUUUAAAUAGCUCUAAGAAAGCAAAAUAAAUGUUUCUGCUACCGAUAUGACAAGGUACAAAUCAAAUGUUUUACUAUUCUGAUCUUCUGAAUCCUCAUUCUGCAGGUAUUGACCAAUGUUUCAAAAUGUUGGUAGUGAAACAAAACUUUGUUGUGGCUUUAUGAGGGGGCAGCACUUUUUUUUUACAGGUGGUUUAAACUUUCUACCUACGGCGUCAGAAAAGGAUGCGGUUGACAGUUUGACACUUGACAGACUACAGAACUGCGGUUGACCACUCCUGGUGUUAAACGGUUGCCAACGCCACCUAGUGCGCAAAUAGUAACAGCGAAUCAAGGCAAAUGGCGUUUCGAGAAAUAUUACUGCUAGAACACUAUUACCCAACGUCUAUGAUCACAUUAAAUAAGUUCAAAAUGUGAGGUUUCUUUUAGGUUUAAAUAAUGCUGAUAAGAAAAACAAAACUUUAGUGUGAGUUAAAAGUGCUUUACCGACAUGCGUCUGAUAUGCUGGAAAUCAGUUUUUUUACUCUUUGAUGAAACAGAGAAGCCCCAGUUUGGUUAAAAAUCGUGCACAUCAUCAUCAAUGUGGAUUGGUGGCGAAUACAGAACAGCAGAAUGGAUGAGUGAGAGCGGGCGGAAGGAACAAGGAAAAAGAGAGGAUCGAUUUGAAUCGGAAGGAUGUGAAGCAAAAGGGGGAAACGAAUGAUGCUGGAUCGCCUGUGUUUUCCAGGUGUCCUGGGAGGGAAUUCAUGAAGACGUUGAAAAAUAGAGACACGAUAAAUGAUCGCACAUACACAACGAACAUCGUGUACGUCAAAACAAACACACAGCACAGCACAAACAGGGUUUUCUAUUCCAAAUAAUAUAAAAAAAAAAAAAAAACAACGCGGCGGCAGAGGACAAAAUUAUUAUUAUUUCUUUUCUUUUUUUUUUUAUUUUUAUUUUUAUUUUUUUGUGUAAAAAAAAAAGGGAAAAUUUUAUCUUUUGAUGUGUGUAGACGAUUAUGAAAGGCCUUUCAAUUUUUCAAUAAAAAAAAAAGCUACGGGGAUAAUAUUCCAAAACAUACAAAAUAAAAGUGCAGAUGAUUCCCACAACCUUUCACACCAAACUUCUUUUAAAACAAUCUUUCGGUUCUCAAAGCCGGAUCUAUUGCCCGUGUCUGUGUGUGUUCACGUACACCAAAAGGGGGAAGGGAGAAGGGGGAGGGGUAUAUUAUCGACAAGAAAUGAACGGAAAAAAGCAACAUAUACGAUCAGAGGAAUAGGAAAGGAACCAUAAAGGAUAAGGAAGCUGAUUGAGUGUAAAAAGUACCAAAAAUAAGGGAUGUAUGGUCGAUCUACGGGUUCUAUUUUAGAAUUAAAGCUUGCUGAAAAGGAAAGGAAAUUUUCUGUCUGGCUUACGUUUUUUUUUUUGGUUUUUUUUUUUGUUUGUUUUUUUUGCCCAUUUCUCAGAUGCAUAUGAAAUAUUUACAAGGCCCUCCCUCACCCCCAUUAAACAAACAAAAAAGUGGUAGUUAAUUCUUUUUGGAUUACCCCCUCCCUU